RNAcentral lists this ribosomal RNA (215 nucleotides) under uncultured Pseudomonas sp. RNAcentral's name for it is "partial 16S ribosomal RNA". It matches the Rfam family "Bacterial small subunit ribosomal RNA", at positions 137 to 355 of the family's 1533-position model. The record is from RNAcentral. Lineage: Bacteria; Pseudomonadati; Pseudomonadota; Gammaproteobacteria; Pseudomonadales; Pseudomonadaceae.
UGGGGGACAACGUUUCGAAAGGAACGCUAAUGCCGCAUACGUCCUACGGGAGAAAGCAGGGACCUUCGGGCCUUGCGCUAUCAGAUGAGCCUAGGUCGGAUUAGCUAGUUGGUGAGGUAAUGGCUCACCAAGCGACGAUCCGUAACUGGUCUGAGAGGAUGAUCAGUCACACUGGAACUGAGACACGGUCCAGACUCCUACGGGAGGCAGCAGCC